GCACGAGACAGCAAACAUUUGAUGGAAGAUGUUAAUGGAGUCUCGAUUUGGGAAAGAAACUUUAUUCCCUCUGAGUUUGUGAGGCUAAUGAGUUCUGACGGCAUUUGUUGGGCAUUUUUUGGCAUCAUUUGGGAGGAGAAGAAGGCGUGGCUGAAAUAAAUGUCUGUUUGAGAAAAACGAACAACUUGAGCCUUGAUUAAGACCUCGGAGUUGUGUCUUCUGAGUCCACACAGGCGAUGUCUUCCUUCCUCUUAGCAGCAUGUCCAAAAGGUGGGGUUGCGGGGGCAGCAGCCUAAGCAGAGAUUUCCAGACUUCCGACAUGUUCCAGUUCUUCCCGGGGGAUCCCGAGGCGUUCCCAGCCGGGAGACAUAGUCUUGCCAUCGUGUCCUGGGUCUUCCCUGUGGCCUCCUACCGAUUGGAUGUGUCCUAAACACCUACCCAGGUAGGGGUCCGGUCCGGGGGGGGGGGGGCACCCAGACCAGAACCAUCUCAUCUGGCUCCUCUCCAUGUGGAGGAGCAGCGGCUUUACUUUGAUCUCCCCCCAGAUGACAGAGCUUCGCACCCUACCAACCUUCUCACCAGUACGCUUGUACCCGUGAUCUUGUCCUUUCGGUCCUAACCCAAAGCUCGUGACCAUGGUGAGAGUAGGACCGUAGAUUGAGAGCUCCUUCUUCACCACAACGGAUCGCGCAUUACUGAAGACGCCGUACCGAUCCACCAGUCAACCUCAUCGUCCACUCGUGAACAAGACUCUGAGGUACUUGAACUCCUCCACUUGGGGAAAAGAUCUCUUCCCCAACCCGGAGACGGCCGGGGCUCCACCCUUUUCCAGGCGGGAUCCAUGGACUCGAACUUGGAGCUGCUGAUUUUCAUCACAGUUGCCUCACACCUGGCUGUGAACCGAUCCAAUGAGAGCUGAAAACCCUGGUCAAAUCAAGCCAACAGGACCACAUCAUCUGGAACAGAGACCUAAUCCUAGAGCCACCAAACCAGAUCCUCUCAACGCCUUGACUGCGCCUAGAAAUUCUGUCCAUAAAAGAACAGAAUGGGUGACAAAGGGCAGCCUUGGCUUGAGUCCAACCCUCACUGGAAACGGGUCCGGUCCGGGGGGGGCACCCAGACCAGAACCAUCUCAUCUGGCUCCUCUCCAUGUGGAGGAGCAGCGGCUUUACUUUGAUCUCCCCCCGGAUGACAGAGCUUCGCACCCUACCAACCUUCUCACCAGUACGCUUGUACCCGUGAUCUUGUCCUUUCGGUCCUAACCCAAAGCUCGUGACCAUGGUGAGAGUAGGACCGUAGAUUGAGAGCUCCUUCUUCACCACGACGGAUCGCGCAUUACUGAAGACGCCGUACCGAUCCACCAGUCAACCUCAUCGUCCACUCGUGAACAAGACUCUGAGGUACUUGAACUCCUCCACUUGGGGAAAGAUCUCUUCCCCAACCCGGAGACGGCCGGGGCUCCACCCUUUUCCAGGCGGGAACCAUGGACUCGGACUUGGAGGUGCUGAUUUUCAUCACAGUCGCCUCACACCUGGCUGUGAACCGAUCCAAUGAGAGCUGAAAACCCUGGUCAAAUCAAGCCAACAGGACCACAUCAUCUGGAACAGAGACCUAAUCCUAGAGCCACCAAACCAGAUCCUCUCAACGCCUUGACUGCGCCUAGAAAUUCUGUCCAUAAAAGAACAGAAUGGGUGACAAAGGGCAGCCUUGGCUUGAGUCCAACCCUCACUGGAAACGGGUCCGGUCCGGGGGGGGCACCCAGACCAGAACCAUCUCAUCUGGCUCCUCUCCAUGUGGAGGAGCAGCGGCUUUACUUUGAUCUCCCCCCGGAUGACAGAGCUUCGCACCCUACCAACCUUCUCACCAGUACGCUUGUACCCGAGAUCUUGUCCUUUCGGUCCUAACCCAAAGCUCGUGACCAUAGGUGAGAGUAGGACCGUAGAUUGAGAGCUCCUUCUUCACCACGACGGAUCGAUACGGAGUCCGCUUUACUGAAGACGCCGUACCGAUCCACCAGUCAACCUCAUCGUCCACUCGUGAACAAGACUCUGAGGUACUUGAACUCCUCCACUUGGGGAAAGAUCUCUUCCCCAACCCGGAGACGGCCAGGGCUCCACCCUUUUCCAGGCGGGAACCAUGGACUCGAACUUGGAGCUGCUGAUUUUCAUCACAGUUGCCUCACACCUGGCUGUGAACCGAUCCAAUGAGAGCUGAAAACCCUGGUCAAAUCAAGAAAACAGGACCACAUCAUCUGGAGCAGAGACCUAAUCCUAGAGCCACCAAACCGGAUCCUCUCAACGCCUUGACUGCGCCUAGAAAUUCUGUCCAUAAAAGAACAGAAUGGGUGACAAAGGGCAGCCUUGGCUUGCGUCCAACCCUCACUGAAAACGGGUCCGGUCCGGGGGGGGCACCAAGACCAGAACCAUCUCAUCUGGCUCCUCUCCAUGUGGAGGAGCAGCGGCUUUACUUUGAUCUCCGCCCAGAUGACAGAGCUUCGCACCCUACCAACCUUCUCACCGCUACGCUUGUACCCGUGAUCUUGUCCUUUCGGUCCUGACCCAAAGCUCAUGACCGUGGUGAGAGUAGGAUUCUAGAUUGACCGGUUAAUUGAGAGCUCGUUCUUCACCACGACGGAUCGAUACGGAGUCCGCAUUACUGAAGACGCCGUACCGAUCCACCAGUCAACCUCAUCAUCCACUCGUGAACAAGACUCUGAGGUACUUGAACUCCUCUACUUGGGGAAAGAUCUCUUCCCCAACCCGGAGACGGCCGGGGCUCCACCCUUUUCCAGGCGGGAACCAUGGACUCGGACUUGGAGCUGCUGAUUUUCAUCACAGUCGCCUCACACCUGGCUGUGAACCGAUCCAAUGAGAGCUGAAAACCCUGGUCAAAUCAAGAAAACAGGACCACAUCAUCUGGAGCAGAGACCUAAUCCUAGAGCCACCAAACCGGAUCCUCUCAACGCCUUGACUGCGCCUAGAAAUUCUAGGGCAGCCUUGGCUUGAGUCCAACCCUCACCGGAAAUGGGUCCGACUUACUGCCGGCAUUGCGGACCAAGCUCUGACUCUGAUCGUACCGAGAACAGACCACCACAAUCAGGCGGUCUGAUACCCUAACUCUGAGCACUCCCCACAGGACUUCCCAAAGAACACGGUCAAAGGUCUUCGCCAAGUCCACCCAAAACUCGUGACCAUAGGUGAGAGUAGGACCGUAGAUUGACCGGUAAAUUGAGAGCUCCUUCUUCACCACGACGGAUUGAUACGGAGUCCGCAUUACUGAAGACUCCGUACCGAUCCACCAGUCAACCUCAUCGUCCACUCGUGAACAAGACUCUGAGGUACUUGAACUCCUCCACUUGGGGAAAGAUCUCUUCCCCAACCCGGAGACGGCCGGGGCUCCACCCUUUUCCAGGCGGGAACCAUGGACUCGGACUUGGAGCAGCUGAUUUUCAUCACAGUCGCCUCACACCUGGCUGUGAACCGAUCCAACGAGAGUUGAAAACCCUGGUCAAAUCAAGAAAACAGGACCACAUCAUCUGGAGCAGUGACCUAAUCCUGCAGCCACCAAACCAGAUCCUCUCAACGCCUUGACUGUGCCUAGAAAUUCUAGGGCAGCCUUGGCUUGAGUCCAACCCUCACUGGAAACGGGUCCGACUCUGAUCGUACCGAGAACAGACCACCACAAUCAGGCGGUCUGAUACCCUCACAGGACUUCACGAAGGACACGGUCAAAGGUCUUCGCCAAGUCCACAAAGCACAUGUAGACUGGUUGGACAAACUCCCAUACAUCCUCAAGGAUUCUGUUGAGAGUAUAGACCUGGUCCACAGUUCCAAGACCAGGACAAAGACCACAGUGCUCCUCUUGAAUCUGAGGUUGGACUAUCCUGUCCAGUACACCUGAACAGACCUUACCGGGAAGGCUGAGGAGUAAACAUUUUCAGGUGUAAACAACUCAGUCCGAUUCAGAUUCCUGGGUUAAAGAUUCCAUUCCGAAUCGAUUCCGGAUUCAAGCUGAUUCUGGAUUCACACCAAUUCUUGGAACAGUAAUUAUAAUGCAACUUUUUCUAAACAGGUUACAAGUUAAAAAAGUUAUAUCUAAUUUUAUUAGACGUCUUAUGAAAAGUUAUUUUCAAAAAAGUUCUUAUUUAAAAAAUUCUUAUUGAAAAAAAAUUGUAUUAAAAAAAAAUUCAAUAAUACUAAAAAUCCAUCUAUCUUUUACCGCUUGUACAAUAUUAUGUUUUAAUCCAUUUUUUUUUGUGGAUUUAAAAUUAGGAAUAAGAAUCGCGAUUCGGAUGUGAAUCGAUUUUUUUCCCAUACAAAUCGUGUUUCUUCUCAAUACA
Molecule: long non-coding RNA, 4339 nt
Organism: Nerophis ophidion (straightnose pipefish)
Lineage: Eukaryota; Metazoa; Chordata; Actinopteri; Syngnathiformes; Syngnathidae
Exons: 4
Source: RefSeq, a predicted model, not a curated record